UGAGGAAUAUUGGUCAAUGGACGCAAGUCUGAACCAGCCAUGCCGCGUGCAGGAUGACGGCUCUAUGAGUUGUAAACUGCUUUUGUACGAGGGUAAACGCAGAUACGUGUAUCUGUCUGAAAGUAUCGUACGAAUAAGGAUCGGCUAACUCCGUGCCAGCAGCCGCGGUAAUACGGAGGAUCCAAGCGUUAUCCGGAUUUAUUGGGUUUAAAGGGUGCGUAGGCGGUUUUAUAAGUUAGAGGUGAAAAUUCGGGGCUCAACUCCGGACGUGCCUCUAAUACUGUAUGACUAGAGAUUAGAUGCGGUAGGCGGAAUGUAUGGUGUAGCGGUGAAAUGCGUAGAGAUCAUACAGAACACCGAUUGCGAAGGCAGCUUACCAAACUACAUCUGACGUUGAGGCACGAAAGCGUGGGGAGCAAACAGG
RNAcentral lists this ribosomal RNA (424 nucleotides) under uncultured bacterium. RNAcentral's name for it is "bacterial SSU rRNA". It matches the Rfam family "Bacterial small subunit ribosomal RNA", at positions 355 to 776 of the family's 1533-position model. The record is from RNAcentral.